AUACGGAGGGUGCAAGCGUUAAUCGGAAUUACUGGGCGUAAAGCGUACGUAGGCGGUUUAUUAAGUCAGAUGUGAAAGCCCCGGGCUUAACCUGGGAACUGCAUUUGAAACUAGUAGACUAGAGUAUGGUAGAGGGGGGUAGAAUUCCUAGUGUAGCGGUGAAAUGCGUAGAUAUUAGGAGGAAUACCAGUGGCGAAGGCGGCCCCCUGGACCAAUACUGACGCUGAGGUACGAAAGCGUGGGGAGCAAACAGGAUUAGAAACCCUAGUAGUCC
RNAcentral lists this ribosomal RNA (274 nucleotides) under uncultured bacterium. RNAcentral describes it as "partial 16S ribosomal RNA". It matches the Rfam family "Bacterial small subunit ribosomal RNA", at positions 523 to 796 of the family's 1533-position model. The record is from RNAcentral.